This 253-nucleotide ribosomal RNA is filed under the name uncultured bacterium. RNAcentral's name for it is "partial 16S ribosomal RNA". It matches the Rfam family "Bacterial small subunit ribosomal RNA", at positions 524 to 776 of the family's 1533-position model. The record is from RNAcentral.
UACGAAGGGGGCUAGCGUUGCUCGGAAUCACUGGGCGUAAAGCGCACGUAGGCGGAUCUUUAAGUCAGGGGUGAAAUCCUGGAGCUCAACUCCAGAACUGCCUUUGAUACUGGGGAUCUCGAGUCCGGAAGAGGUGAGUGGAACUCCGAGUGUAGCGGUGAAAUGCGCAGAUAUCAGGAAGAACACCCGUGGCUAAGGCGGCUCUCUAGUACGGUACUGACGCUGAGACGCGAAAGCGUGGGGAGCGAACAGG